Molecule: ribosomal RNA, 463 nt
Filed under: Vreelandella stevensii
Lineage: Bacteria; Pseudomonadati; Pseudomonadota; Gammaproteobacteria; Oceanospirillales; Halomonadaceae
Description: partial 16S ribosomal RNA
Rfam family: Bacterial small subunit ribosomal RNA
Source: RNAcentral
CCUACGGGGGCAGCAGUGGGGAAUAUUGAACAAUGGGCGAAAGCCUGAUCCAGCCAUGCCGCGUGUGUGAAGAAGGCCUUCGGGUUGUAAAGCACUUUCAGUGGGGAAGAAAGCCUUGGGGCUAAUACCCUCGAGGAAGGACAUCACCCACAGAAGAAGCACCGGCUAACUCCGUGCCAGCAGCCGCGGUAAUACGGAGGGUGCGAGCGUUAAUCGGAAUUACUGGGCGUAAAGCGCGCGUAGGCGGUCUGAUAAGCCGGUUGUGAAAGCCCCGGGCUCAACCUGGGAACGGCAUCCGGAACUGUCAGGCUAGAGUGCAGGAGAGGAAGGUAGAAUUCCCGGUGUAGCGGUGAAAUGCGUAGAGAUCGGGAGGAAUACCAGUGGCGAAGGCGGCCUUCUGGACUGACACUGACGCUGAGGUGCGAAAGCGUGGGUAGCAAACAGGAUUAGAUACCCCUGUAGU